Molecule: ribosomal RNA, 372 nt
Filed under: uncultured organism
Description: partial 16S ribosomal RNA
Rfam family: Bacterial small subunit ribosomal RNA
Source: RNAcentral
GUAGGUGGCAAGCGUUGUCCGGAAUUAUUGGGCGUAAAGCGCGCGCAGGCGGUUCUUUAAGUCUGAUGUGAGAGCCCACGGCUCAACCGUGGAGGGUCAUUGGAAACUGGAGAACUUGAGUACAGAAGAGGAAAGCGGAAUUCCACGUGUAGCGGUGAAAUGCGUAGAGAUGUGGAGGAACACCAGUGGCGAAGGCGGCUUUCUGGUCUGUAACUGACGCUGAGGCGCGAAAGCGUGGGGAGCAAACAGGGAUUAGAUACCCUGGUAGUCCACGCCGUAAACGAUGAGUGCUAAGUGUUAGGGGGUUUCCGCCCCCUUAGUGCUGCAGCUAGCGCAUUAAGCACUCCGCCUGGGAGUACGGCCGCAAGGCUG